RNAcentral lists this non-coding RNA (24 nucleotides) under Cricetulus griseus (Chinese hamster). Lineage: Eukaryota; Metazoa; Chordata; Mammalia; Rodentia; Cricetidae. The record is from RNAcentral.
AGAGGUUUGACUUCCUGGAUAUGG